GGUCACAUAAGCCUAAAUGGCAAGGCAGCGGUUUACUAAACCGAGAGUAAUCGCAUUUGCAGUGUCCGAGUUCAAGUCUCGGUGUGACCGCUA
Molecule: transfer RNA, 93 nt
Filed under: Hominimerdicola alba
Lineage: Bacteria; Bacillati; Bacillota; Clostridia; Eubacteriales; Oscillospiraceae
Description: Ruminococcus albus tRNA_Pseudo_ACT
Rfam family: tRNA
About the family: Transfer RNA (tRNA) molecules are approximately 80 nucleotides in length.
Source: RNAcentral